RNAcentral lists this transfer RNA (72 nucleotides) under Cavia porcellus (domestic guinea pig). It matches the Rfam family "tRNA". Rfam says of the family: Transfer RNA (tRNA) molecules are approximately 80 nucleotides in length. Their secondary structure includes four short double-helical elements and three loops (D, anti-codon, and T loops). The record is from Rfam by way of RNAcentral. Lineage: Eukaryota; Metazoa; Chordata; Mammalia; Rodentia; Caviidae.
GAAGGUAUAGCUCAGUGGUACAGCACUAGCUUUGUAUGCAUGAGGCCAUGGGUUCAUUCCCCAGUACCCCUU